UAUUUUUCAAACCGGCUCGGCAUUGGGGGUGCUGACCAAUUGACUAAUUUCUAUUGAUCCGACUCUGGCGGAUCAAUAGAAAUUAUAGCGGUGGAGUAAAAUGGAAAAUGUCCUUGUCAUUUUAAUCGUUGGGCUUGCGGCCUUCUUUCUCGGUCGCAGUUAUUAUAAAAAAUACAAAAAAAAGGGUCAAUGCAGCUGUGGAUGCACUUCCUGUCCGACGGAUGCAUCGGU
Molecule: ribosomal RNA, 231 nt
Filed under: uncultured eukaryote
Lineage: Eukaryota
Description: partial small subunit ribosomal RNA
Source: RNAcentral